UACGUAGGGUGCGAGCGUUAAUCGGAAUUACUGGGCGUAAAGCGUGCGCAGGCGGUUCGUUGUGUCGGUGGUGAAAGCCCCGGGCUUAACCUGGGAAUGGCCAUGGAAACUGGCGAACUGGAGUGUGGCAGAGGGGGGUGGAAUUCCGCGUGUAGCAGUGAAAUGCGUAGAUAUCGGGAGGAACACCAGUGGCGAAGGCGACUUCCUGGCCUGUUCUUGACGCUGAGGCGCGAAAGCUAGGGGAGCAAACGGG
RNAcentral lists this ribosomal RNA (253 nucleotides) under uncultured bacterium. Its description in RNAcentral is "partial 16S ribosomal RNA". It matches the Rfam family "Bacterial small subunit ribosomal RNA", at positions 524 to 776 of the family's 1533-position model. The record is from RNAcentral.